CUCCCCCCUCACAUUCCCAGCUGAAACAGCCUCUGGCACAGCCAGCAAGGAGCUGAGCCGACACACCAGCAGCUGGUUGUCACUGCUCAGAGGAUCUGCAGUAGCCACCCAGCAGCUCCUCAGCUGCUCAGGCAGGUCUCCUUCCUGAGGCCAUCUCCUGGUCAGGAGCCUGUCAAGCCACAGGCCAGAAGGGGCUUAAGGCAGCUCAGACAUGACAAGGAGGACUCUUCUCCCCUUUCCCUGACCAAGCCCUCUGUAAGGCACUCCCUUUGGACAGAGAGACUUUCUUCCAGGUCCACAUUCUCCUGUGAUAAUCCAGGCAAGUCUAGGAAUCCAAGUACAAGGUUAGCUGAAGUUGGGGCAGGGCCAUAGGGUUGAAUUUCAAAAGGUUAAAAAAAAAAAAAAAA
Molecule: long non-coding RNA, 407 nt
Filed under: Rattus norvegicus (Norway rat)
Lineage: Eukaryota; Metazoa; Chordata; Mammalia; Rodentia; Muridae
Description: long non-coding RNA NONRATT021565
Source: RNAcentral